AUGGCCUUCUCCCCGCGCUCGCCGUGGUCGCGCUCCAAAAAGCCCGACAUCUACUCCACCGUCGUGGUCCACGACGACGAGGACGACGCCCGCGGCGGCGACGCCCGCGCGGAGGAUGACGACGACGACGACCCCUCCGCGCUGCCCCCGCUCCUCCAGCGCCUCCCCAAGGACUUCGGCGGCGCGUCCUUCGACGACGACGACGACCCCUACUCCUCGGACCUCGACGACGCCUCGCUCUCCGCCACCGUCGUUAUCAAGCGCGGCGCCCCCGCCUCCACAUCGUCCUCCUCCCGAUCCCCGUUCCUGGAUCUGCGCCGCUCCAGCCCCCGCGCCGCCGAGGCCGACCCGUUCUCCACCUUCGUCGUCCACGGCACCGCGCGCUCCGGCGGCGCCUCCAGCCCGCGGGAGUCCGUCUCCGGCACGUUUAUACGCCACUCGGGUGGCCCCCCCAGCCCCCGCGAGUCCGUCUCCGGCACAUUCAUCCGCCACACCCGUGGCUCCUCCAGCCCCCACGAGUCGUUCUCCGGCACGUUCAUUCACCACACCAGCGGCGCCUCCAGUCCACGCGACUCCGCCUCCGGUGCUGGGUUUGGGUCCUCAUUCAUAACCCCUUCGGCCGGGCAGGCGGAGGAGGACCGGCAGCCAUCACUUCUGAUGCAGCAGCAGCAAUCAAGGCGGAAGGCAUCAAUGAGCUCUGUCCCAGAUAGUGUUACUAGGGAGGAUCCUUCAACCAAGUAUGAGCUGCUCCAUGAGCUCGGGAAAGGUUCAUAUGGUGCAGUGUACAAGGCGAGGGAUCUCAGAACGCAGGAGCUUGUAGCUGUCAAGAUCAUCUCCUUAACAGAAGGGGAAGAAGGAUAUGAAGAUAUACGGGGAGAAAUUGAGAUGCUACAGCAGUGCAGCCAUCCAAAUGUUGUGCGCUACUUUGGGAGUUAUCAAGGAGAAGAAUACCUUUGGAUAGUUAUGGAGUAUUGUGGUGGUGGAAGUGUUGCUGACUUGAUAGGCAUUACAGAGGAGCCUCUUGACGAACCGCAAAUAGCUUAUAUAUGUCGAGAAACAUUAAAGGGUCUUGCUUACUUGCACACAAUUUUCAAAGUUCAUAGAGAUAUUAAGGGUGGCAACAUUCUACUGACUGAUCAAGGCGAGGUGAAGUUGGGCGAUUUUGGUGUUGCUGCCCAACUAACAAGAACCAUGUCAAAGCGCAACACGUUCAUCGGUACUCCACACUGGAUGGCGCCAGAGGUCAUUCAAGAAAGUCGUUAUGAUGGGAAGGUAGAUGUUUGGGCUCUUGGUGUGUCUGCAAUAGAGAUGGCAGAGGGCAUGCCACCGAGAUCCACUGUGCAUCCAAUGAGAGUGAUCUUCAUGAUAUCUAGUGAACCUGCACCGAUGCUGGAGGAUAAGGAGAAGUGGUCUCUUCUCUUUCAUGAUUUUAUUGCCAAGUGCCUAACAAAGGAUGCAAGACUCCGGCCUCCUGCAAUUGAGAUGCUGAAGCACAAAUUUAUUGAGAAGUGCAACACUGGAGCUUCAAAAAUGUUGGCAAAGAUCAAGGAAGCAAAAAUCAUCAGAGAAACAGCUGCACAAAACCAGCUGCCUGACUCUGACGAUGCAAUGGAUGCAACUGUUCGAAUUAAUGAAGAUUAUGGAGAAACUGUUCCGACAAACUCUCAGUCAACUCAUGAAACAAAAAAUGAUGGUUCGGGAGGCGAUUUUGGCACAAUGAUAGUCCAUCCUGAAGAUGGCGAUGAAGCGGCCGAAUCAUCUAUUUUCCCAAGAACAGAGUUCAUACCGGGCCUUGGUAGCAUCAACUCUUUCACACAUGAUCCAAAGAGGGCUGAGCUUAUUUCAAAAUUUUGGGCGGAGAGCACAGCUGAUAGUGAUGCCAGUAAAGAGCGGGACUUGUAUGGACUUCCCGACAUCCAAGAACCCAAAACAAUGCCACGUUCAACUGGAACAGUUAAGCAGCACAAGGGCGCAGAAGGGACUGUGCUGCGCCAUGAUAUCACUGCAUCACCGGGUGUUGCUAGCACAAUGAACAAAUUAAGCAGCAGCCCAAGCCGUAAAGCAUUUUCGGUUCAGGAUAAGCUCUGGUCAAUCUAUGCCGCCGGAAACACAGUGCCUAUUCCAUUUCUGAAGGCGAUUGACAUUUCACCGCUAGCUCUAGUAUCGGAUAGCGUAGCGGGCAAUGGCCCUGCUGGUUCAAGCACAACUGAUGCCUUGGAGGCAGUCAGGGAGCUUUUCAGUGGCGAUGGGCAGGCAAAGAAAGGGCGCAAAGGGCAAAAUGAGGCCCCUCUUCCUCCUGGUGUGCACGACAGGUUGACGACAAGCCCUACAUUGAUGAACCUGGCCCAGGCUCUCGCUUACCAUAAGACGUGCUACGAGGACAUGCCUCUUCAAGAUUCACAAGCGACAGAAGAGCAGCAGACGAUACAGAACCUUUGUGAUACGCUUCGGACCAUACUGAGGUUGUAG
Molecule: ribosomal RNA, 2469 nt
Filed under: Triticum aestivum (bread wheat)
Lineage: Eukaryota; Viridiplantae; Streptophyta; Magnoliopsida; Poales; Poaceae
Description: partial small subunit ribosomal RNA
Source: RNAcentral